CAGAAAUUUUAAUGUGCCUUUUAUUGAAAAAACACGAGAUUUUGAUACUUUACAUUUCUGCCGCAAAUCACUAUACAAAUUCGGCAACACCAGGGAAGCUGAAUACUUGUGGAUUGAUGGAUCAGGAAGUCCGAAACUGCAGCUGAUGCUAAUCUUUCUUCAGUUACGAAACCUGUCAGAGGAUUGUGAAUUCCCACCAAUUUCUUAAAUUCCAAUUUUAGAAUCCCAUCAAUCUGUAUUUGACCUGUACAGAGCUGCAGUAGCGAAUUUUAGGGUUCACAGCUGUUCGUGGGGAUAUCUUGCA
RNAcentral lists this unclassified non-coding RNA (304 nucleotides) under Hevea brasiliensis (rubber tree). Lineage: Eukaryota; Viridiplantae; Streptophyta; Magnoliopsida; Malpighiales; Euphorbiaceae. The record is from RNAcentral.